Molecule: ribosomal RNA, 420 nt
Filed under: uncultured archaeon
Lineage: Archaea
Description: partial 16S ribosomal RNA
Rfam family: Archaeal small subunit ribosomal RNA
Source: RNAcentral
CUACGGGGGGCAGCAGCUAGGAAUCUUCUGCAAUGCACGAAAGUGUGACAGAGCGAGCCAAAGUGCUUCUCAACGAGAAGCUUUUGCCAGAUGUAAAAAAUCUGGAGAAUAAGGACUGGGCAAGACUAGUGCCAGCCGCCGCGGUAAUACUAGCUGUCCAAGUCGCAGCCAUAAUUAUUGGGUCUAAAACAUCCGUAGCUUGCUUUGUAAGUUUUCUGUGAAAUUUGGUAUCUUAAAUACCAAGCGAGCAGGAAGUACUGCAAGGCUAGAGACCAGAAGACAUAAGAAGUACAUCCAAAGUAGUGGUAAAAUACUUUAAUCUUGGGUGGACUAACAAUAGCGAAGGCAUCUUAUGAGUAUGGUUCUGACAGUCAGGGAUGAAGGCUAGGGGCGCAAAAGGGAUUAGAUACCCCCGUAGUC